Molecule: transfer RNA, 33 nt
Filed under: Begonia herbacea
Lineage: Eukaryota; Viridiplantae; Streptophyta; Magnoliopsida; Cucurbitales; Begoniaceae
Description: partial tRNA-Leu
Source: RNAcentral
UUAAAAUCCGUCGACUUUCAAAAUCGUGAGGGU